UAGGGAAUCUUCCGCAAUGGACGCAAGUCUGACGGAGCAACGCCGCGUGAGUGAAGAAGGAUUUCGGUUCGUAAAACUCUGUUGUUAGAGAAGAACAGCGCAUAGAGUAACUGUUAUGCGUGUGACGGUAUCUAACCAGAAAGCCACGGCUAACUACGUGCCAGCAGCCGCGGUAAUACGUAGGUGGCAAGCGUUGUCCGGAUUUAUUGGGCGUAAAGCGAGCGCAGGCGGUCAAUUAAGUCUGAUGUGAAAGCCCCCGGCUCAACGGGGGGAGGUCAUUGGAAACUGGUUGACUUGAGUGCAGAGGAGAAGAGUGGAAUUCCAUGUGUGGCGGUGAAAUGCGUAGAUAAAUGGAGGAACACCAGUGGCGAAGGCGACUCUCGGGUCAGUAACUGACGCAGAGGCUCGAAAGCGUGGGUAGCAAGCAGG
This 429-nucleotide ribosomal RNA is filed under the name Bacteroidota bacterium. Its description in RNAcentral is "Bacteroidetes bacterium partial 16S ribosomal RNA". It matches the Rfam family "Bacterial small subunit ribosomal RNA", at positions 355 to 776 of the family's 1533-position model. Lineage: Bacteria; Pseudomonadati; Bacteroidota. The record is from RNAcentral.